This 323-nucleotide unclassified non-coding RNA is filed under the name plant metagenome. RNAcentral's name for it is "partial contains 5.8S ribosomal RNA, internal transcribed spacer 2, and large subunit ribosomal RNA". The stretch from base 1 to 105 matches the Rfam family "5.8S ribosomal RNA", at positions 50 to 154 of the family's 154-position model. The record is from RNAcentral.
GAAAUGCGAUAAGUAAUGUGAAUUGCAGAAUUCCGUGAAUCAUCGAAUCUUUGAACGCACAUUGCGCCCUCUGGUAUUCCGGGGGGCAUGCCUGUCCGAGCGUCAUUGCACACCCUCAAGCGCGGCUUGUGUGUUGGGCCCCCGCGUCCUUGCCAUUUAAAGGACGGGCCCGAAAGGCAGUGGCGGCGUCGCGGUUAUCCGAUCAGCCAGAGCGUAUGGGGACUCUGUUCACACGCUCGCGGCGCGGACCGGCGCUGGCCGACCCCCCUAACCAUUCUACGGUUUGACCUCGGAUCAGGUAGGGAUACCCGCUGAACUUAAGC